Orcinus orca (killer whale) is the source of this 4816-nucleotide long non-coding RNA. RefSeq lists it as uncharacterized. The record is from RefSeq and is a predicted model, not a curated record. Lineage: Eukaryota; Metazoa; Chordata; Mammalia; Artiodactyla; Delphinidae. The transcript has 8 exons.
GGUAGAUGAAAUCGUCAUAGGACAUCCUGAGAGGUUGGAAGAAGAGAGAGACCCAUAUGGGAGGCUGGGAAAGAUAAGGCAACAGAGAUUCCGAGAAGGGAAGUCACCUGUCCAGUCCAGACUCCUGCAUCAAGACUCCCCUCCUGCCUGGACCUAGCCCAGGCUUUCUAGACAUCUUUCCUUUCCAGACAGUGGCCAUCAGCAAGCUCUCUGGAUCCCAGGUUCCCGUGGCUCUGCUCCCAGCCCUUCCUGAAGCCCACGUCCCCUCUUCUCCUCUGCGGAUCCUUGGUUUUAAGGGUGAUUUUAGACCAAGCAUUUGUAGUACUCUUGUGGCUCGGUACCCAGCCCUGCCUUGCCCCAGGCCUUAUUGUCCCCUAUCCGUGGGGUCCCCGCACCCACCUGUCACUCCAGGAGCCAUUCCACUCCACCUGGCCCCAGGGGUUCCGCAGCCGCACCAGCUUCACUUUCUCACCCUUGUACAGGGCCUUGAGCAAAGAGAAAAAGCUUUCUCCCUUUGGGCCCUUUCUGAAAGGGGGUCUUCUGUCUUGCCCUGAGGGCUGGGGUGGGAGUGGGGAGAGAAUCCUGUACAGGGGCCUGUCCUGCCUGGCCCCGGUCAAGGACACUAAUCACAAGUGCCCUGUGGAAUGGCAGGGUGAUGGGUCAGAACCUUAGGGCUGAGUCUGCAGGAGUCAGGCUUGGCCACCACCUUGCCAUCUUCUAAGAAGUGAUUUUCCCAGCGAACAUUGGGCCAUUCAGAGCUUUGGGAGAGGAGGCAGGGAAUAUAAUGUAGGGCUCUGCUAGCACAAGGUGCCUCUGUGUGAAUUAGAUAAAACGCCCCUGCUGGCUGAGGAACUAUAGAAAAUGUCCCUUCCAGAUGGAUCAGUGAGAAAAAGGGGCCCUUCCUCCUGUCUGCUGCAGACGACUGCCCCUCUCUGCCCAUCUCUGUGAACAGGGCACAACUCGCCCAAUUGUGCACAAGGGGCCUGACAAGGUUCCUGUCUGUGACGUGACCCGGUGAAGGCCAGACAUCCCAGGGGGAGCAAAACCUUGGAACUGACCAUGGAAAACAAGGAACACAAGAGCCCAUGAUAUCAACUUCGUAACACCAAAGUGCUUUCUAUUUGUUCUUUGGAAAUGUUGGGGCAAUUGCUAUCUUUAGCACUAAAAACAAACAUAAACUGAGCACCAUCUUGUGGCAAGAUCCACCUGCCAGUCCCAGUGGUCUCCCCCAACCCCAGGCGCUUGGCCUGAGUGCCUGAUUGGAGGCAAAUUCUACAGAUGUGAAGGGACACAGAAAGCCAAGUCCUGACUUCGGGAGGUUCACCCAAGUAGCCCCUCAAGUCCCGUCCCGCCGAGUCCCGCCAGGCUCACCUCCUCCAGCCCAGUGACUGAGUAGGCGUGGCCUUUGACCAGCCCGCAGGCCAUUCUUGUCUCGUACUGAACUGGAACAAUCGUCUGUGGAGUGAAAACCAGACAACCUGUCAGGGGUUGCUGCCUGAGACAAAGUUCACACUGGUUCAUGUCCUGGGUUCUGCGAGGACAAGGACUCCUCCACGCCCUGGACGUGUGCCUCCCAGCCAUGAGAAGGCCCUCACUAGCCCUUUCAGAGAGCCAAGAAAAUGCAGCCCAGACAAGUGGUUUCCCCAGACCGUCGGAGAGCGACAUGGAGCUGGGGCACGAGAGAAACUGCCUGGACCAUGGAGUUUGAAGGACCUCCCACAGAGAUUCCCUCCAAAAGCUGCCUCCCGCACCUUCCUCAAGAACCUUGGAGAGGGCAAGUUAUUCCAACCCAGACCCUUGGAAGGCCUCAGGAGGAGCCUGUGUGUGAGGUGCUGGCUGCUGAGGAAGAUCUGACCUUACAGAGGUGUCAACCCAGGGAAGGAGUGUGACAGCAGUCUCUGGACCAUGUGAUCAACAGGAGCUUUCCCACAGUCCACACCAAAGAUAAUACUUCCCGAACAAGAGGCUGAGACAGAGGAAAGACUGGUGAAGCAGACAAGCUAACCAACCAGACAGAAAAUUGGACGCUCAUCCACAUGGCAAAUGUCGUCUUUGUUGAAAGACUCCUUUAAUAUGAAGCUAUUCUGGGGCAAUUUCAACAAGAGUUCGAGUUACAAAAGCACAUUUUGUGAGCAUAUAGAUUCCAUGUGCCCAAGGGACACGCGUGGUACAUGGACAGUUUCAGAGCUGACUUCUAAGGAAGAUGAGGACACCAAGGCUCAGAGAGGUUAAGAAACCUGCCCAAGGACACACAGCUAAAAACAACCAUGUCCAGCCCCCUUCCUAUAACUACAAGAAUCUUCCUACUUUUUCCUGAUGUGUUUUCCUCUUGAAGAGAAAAGCUGACGAUUCAGCCACGAGAGGGAAGGAAAGGAAGACAGAGACAAUAAGGAAGGGAUGUUCAUGAAGUGGUUGAAAAAUACUCCUGGGGGGCUCCAGACCAAGAUGGCAACAUAAAAGCCUCCUGAAUUUCCCUCCUUCCACAGAUGCACUGAAUAUAAAGCUACACAUGGAGCAAUUCCCUUUGAGAGAAAUCCGGAAACUAGCUGAGUGACUCCUAUACAUUGGGUGACUGAGAAAAUACCCACAUCAAAACAAGUAGGAGGGACUUUCCUGGUGGUCCAGUGGGUAAGACUCCAUGCUCCCAAUGCAGGUGGCCCAGGAUCGAUCCCUGGCCAGGGAACUAGAUCCCACAUGCAUGCUGCAACUAAGAAGUUGGAAUGCCACAACUAAGACCCGGCACAGCCAAAAUAAGUGAUAAAUAAAUAAAAAUAAGUUAAAAACAAGAAAACCAAAACAAGCAAACAAACAAAACAAGUAGGCGAGCAGAAGCAAGAAGAACUACAAUUCUGCAGCCUGUGGAAUGAAAACCACAUUCACAGAAAGAUAGACAAAAAUGAAACAGCAGAGAACUAUGUACCAGAUGAAGGAACAAGAAACCCCCCCAGAAAACCAGCUACAUGAAGUGGAGAUAGGCAACCUUCCAGAAAAAGAAUUCAGAAUAAUGAUAGUGAAGAUGAUCCAGGACCUCGGAAAAAGAAUGGAGGCAAAGAUCGAGAAGAUGCAAGAAAUGUUUAACAAAGACCUAGAAGAAUUAAAGAACAAACACCUAGAAAAAUUAAAGAACAAACAAACAGAGAUGAACAAUACAAUAACUGAAAUGAAAACUACCCUAGAAAGAAUCAAUAGCAGAAUAACUGAGGCCAAAGAACAGAUAAGUGACCUGGAAGACAGAAUGGUGGAAUUCACUGCCAUGGAACAGAAUAAAGAAAAAAGAAUGAAAAGAAAUGAAGACAGCCUAAGAGACCUCUGGCACAACAUUAAAUGCACCAAUAUUCGCAUUAUAGUGGACCCAGAAGGAGAAGAGAAAGGGCCUGAGAAAAUAUUUGAAGAGAUUAUAGUCGAAAACUUCCCUAACAUGGGAAAGGAAACAGCCACCCAAGUCCAGGAAGUGCAGAGAAUCCCAGGCAGGAUAAACCCAAGGAGAAACACUCCAAGACACAUAGUAAUCAAAUUGACAAAAGUUAAAGACAAAAGUUAUUAAAAGCAACAAUGGAAAAACGACAAAUAACAUACAAGGGGACUCCCAUAAGGUUAACAACUGAUUUCCCAGCAGAAACUCUACAUGCCAGAAGGGAGUGGCAUGAUAUAUUUAAAGUGAUGAAAGGGAAUAAACUACAACCAAGAUUAUUCUACCCGGCAAGGAUCUCAUUCAGAUUCGACAGAGAAAUCAAAAGAUUUACAGAAAAGCAAAAGCUAAGAGAAUUCAGCACCACCAAACCAGCUUUACAACAAAUGCUAAAGUAACUUCUCUAGGCAGGAAACACAAAUGCUAAAGGAACUUUACAACAAUAAAUGCGAAAGGAACAAAUGCUAAAGGAAAUUCUUCUCUAAGUGGGAAACACAAGAGAAGAAAAGGACCUACAAAAACAAACCCAAAACAAUUAAGAAAAUGGUAAUAGGAACAUACAUAUCGGUAAUUACCUUAAAUGUGAAUGGAUUAAAGGCUCCAACCAAAAGACACAGGCUUGCUGAAUGGAUACAAAAACAAGACCCAUAUAUAUGCUGUCUACAAGAGACCAACUUCAGACCUAGGGAUACAUAUAGACUGAAAGUGAGGGGAUGGAAAAACAUAUUCCAUGCAAAUGGAAAUCAAAAGAAAGCUGGAGUAGCAAUACUCAUAUCAGAUAAAAUAGACUUUAAAAUAAUGUUACAAGAGACAAGGAAGGACACUACAUAAUGAUCAAGGGACCAAUCCAAGAAGAAGAUAUAGCAAUUAUAAAUAUAUAUGCACCCAACACAGGAGUACCUCAAUACAUAAGGCAGAUGCUAAUAGCUGCAAAAGAGGAAAUCGACAGUAACACAAUAAUAGUGGGGGACUUUAACACCUCACUUACCCAAUGGACAUACCAUCCAGAUGGAAAAUUAAUAAGGAAACCCAAGCUUUAAAUGACACAAUAGACCAGAUAGAUUUAAUUGAUAUUUAUAGGACAUUCCAUCCAAAAACAGAUUACACUUUCUUCUCAAUUGCACACAAAACAUCCUCCAGGAUAGAUCACAUCUUGGGUCACAAAUCAAGCAUUGGUAAAUUUAAGAAAAUUGAAAGCAUAUCAGGCAUCUUUGACAACCACAAUGCUAUGAGAUUAGAAGUUAAUUACAGGGAAAAAAUGUAAAAAACACAAACACAUGGAGGCUAAACAAUACGUUACUAAAUAACCAAGAGAUCUCUGAAAAAAUCAAAGAGGAAAUCAAAAAAUACCUAGAGACAAAUGACAAUGAAAACACGAUGAUCCAAAACCUAUGGGAUGGAGCAAAA